This 28-nucleotide non-coding RNA is filed under the name Mus musculus (house mouse). The record is from RNAcentral. Lineage: Eukaryota; Metazoa; Chordata; Mammalia; Rodentia; Muridae.
UNGAAAGUAGGUGGAUUGUGGUUUUAGG